Molecule: ribosomal RNA, 266 nt
Filed under: uncultured prokaryote
Description: partial 16S ribosomal RNA
Rfam family: Bacterial small subunit ribosomal RNA
Source: RNAcentral
UACGAAGGGUGCAAGCGUUAAUCGGAAUUACUGGGCGUAAAGCGUGCGUAGGUGGUUGUUCAAGUCUGUCGUGAAAGCCCUGGGCUCAACCUGGGAAUGGCGAUGGAAACUGGACGGGCUAGAGUGCGGUAGAGGAUGGCGGAAUUCCCGGUGUAGCGGUGAAAUGCGUAGAGAUCGGGAGGAACAUCCGUGGCGAAGGCGGCCAUCUGGACCAGCACUGACACUGAGGCACGAAAGCGUGGGGAGCAAACAGGAUUAGAUACCCA